This 402-nucleotide ribosomal RNA is filed under the name uncultured bacterium. Its description in RNAcentral is "bacterial SSU rRNA". It matches the Rfam family "Bacterial small subunit ribosomal RNA", at positions 355 to 774 of the family's 1533-position model. The record is from RNAcentral.
UGGGGAAUCUUGCACAAUGGGGGCAACCCUGAUGCAGCGACGCCGCGUGAGCGAUGAAGCCCUUCGGGGCGUAAAGCUCUUUCGACCGGAACGAUAAUGACGGUACCGGGAGAAGAAGCUGCGGCUAACUACGUGCCAGCAGCCGCGGUAAUACGUAGGCAGCAAGCGUUGUUCGGAGUUACUGGGCGUAAAGAGCGCGUAGGCGGUUUUCUAAGUUCGGUGUGAAAUCUCCCGGCUUAACUGGGAGGGUGCGCCGAAGACUGGGAAGCUGGAGUGUGGGAAAGGCAGGCGGAAUUCCUGGUGUAGCGGUGAAAUGCGUAGAUAUCAGGAGGAACACCGGCGGUGUAGACGGCUUGCUAGACCAUAACUGACGCUGAGGCACGAAAGCGUGGGUAGCAAACA